UUUGUUCAAGUCUCCGCGACCUGAACACCGUGACACGUGAGUCCCAAACGUUUCUCUUUUAUUACACUUUAUCAAUAACGUGCUUAUUAACUGCUGUUGGAUACGAGUGUCUCACGUAGCUGCGCUCAUAUCGGGCUCUUGUUAGUGUGACAGUCCCGACGGAGUGAGUUACUUAGUGAGCGCAGGCUGCUCGGAGUCAUGGAGGACACGCAGUUUAAAACUUUACAGUAAUUAUCUAAAGUUAUAACGAGACUCUAUUAAUUAAGACUGUGUUAUUCACGUUGGUUAGGGUUAUUAACUUGUUAUUAUAUAUUAUUUAUUAGAUUAUUAUACAGUUAAUGAUAUGUGUUGUCUGUCAUUAUUAUGAUUAUUCAUAUAAACCGGGAGAAAUUAACCCGUUUCAUUCAUAUGUACCUAAGUAAACAGUUUAGUAGAGUUGUAAUGAUCUUUGAGAGUUUUAUAUAAAUUGUCUGAUAAAAAUGAUUUAAUCACAAACUGAUGUGAGUAAAUCAAAUACUGUAAAGUAACUGUAACCGGGGGCCACGAGCUUUACAGAGCAAAGAAGUCCGAGGAGGUGGAUGCAGAGGCCUUGGCCCACGUCGCCUCCGAGGGUGGAGACACCGCCAACGCCACCCUCGUGCUGAGCCGGUGGAAGGUGCAGUUUGGUCGAUACCAGGGCUAGACCUUCCACUGGCUCUUGGAAAACGACGUGAGCUACUGCGUCAAUCUGGCCUCCUCCCACCAGAAGGAGCGAGAGAGGACCUCAGUCCCCGCUGAUGGCCAACAAGGACGCCUUCUCCCGCUACUCCUCAGCAUACUCUGACUUUGUUGAGGCAGUCAGGUUCCACCAGGCGUUUGAGGAGGUGCGGGUGAGGUUCCUUCAGCCCGGUCAGUAGGGACAGGCACUUGUUGGCUUCGGGGACUUAAAAUUCGAGACCCUCGAGUGCCUGUACAAGUCUGAGGACUCCAAAAAGAUCCGAUUUGUCAACUACCUCCGGAGGACGACAACAGCACCUGGUACGCAGAUGGAGAACGCUGUCCGGUACAUCAGAGGCAGAGACAGACAGAGGACCAGGACAGCCUUUUGUUUU
Long non-coding RNA from Cyclopterus lumpus (lumpfish), 1091 nucleotides. RefSeq lists it as uncharacterized. The transcript is spliced from 3 exons. The record is from RefSeq and is a predicted model, not a curated record. Lineage: Eukaryota; Metazoa; Chordata; Actinopteri; Perciformes; Cyclopteridae.